Molecule: ribosomal RNA, 220 nt
Filed under: uncultured bacterium
Lineage: Bacteria
Description: partial 16S ribosomal RNA
Rfam family: Bacterial small subunit ribosomal RNA
Source: RNAcentral
UAAUGUAUCGGAACGUGCCCAGUCGUGGGGGGUAACUGCUCGAAAGAGCAGCUAAUACCGCAUACGACCUGAGGGUGAAAGCGGGGGAUCGCAAGACCUCGCGCGAUUGGAGCGGCCGAUAUCAGAUUAGGUAGUUGGUGAGGUAAAGGCUCACCAAGCCGACGAUCUGUAGCUGGUCUGAGAGGACGACCAGCCACACUGGGACUGAGACACGGCCCAG